AGGAUAGAGGAGCGGUACUCAUCAGUAUCCCCGGAUCGAAAGACCCGCAGAUCUGAUCCAGGGAGAAAGGGAAUACUGCCGAAGGACGUAAGGCUCACUGCGGAAGCUUAAGUCCUGGGCAGCCGGAGAAGAUCCGGCUGACUGUCGCAUUUGCGGAGAGCUAUGA
This 166-nucleotide non-coding RNA is filed under the name bovine gut metagenome. RNAcentral's name for it is "Lysine riboswitch". It matches the Rfam family "Lysine riboswitch aptamer". Rfam says of the family: Riboswitches are metabolite binding domains within certain messenger RNAs that serve as precision sensors for their corresponding targets. Allosteric rearrangement of mRNA structure is mediated by ligand binding, and this results in modulation of gene expression. The record is from RNAcentral.